This 68-nucleotide transfer RNA is filed under the name human gut metagenome. It matches the Rfam family "tRNA". From Rfam's summary of the family: Transfer RNA (tRNA) molecules are approximately 80 nucleotides in length. Their secondary structure includes four short double-helical elements and three loops (D, anti-codon, and T loops). The record is from RNAcentral.
GGGUAUAGCUCAAUUGGUAGAGCACCGGUCUCCAAAACCGGGGGUUGCGGGUUCGAUUCCUACUGCCC